Molecule: long non-coding RNA, 1371 nt
Filed under: Felis catus (domestic cat)
Lineage: Eukaryota; Metazoa; Chordata; Mammalia; Carnivora; Felidae
Description: lncRNA (ENSFCAG00000051947.1)
Source: RNAcentral
UGUGCUGCCUACGAGCCUGUUUGGUGCUUUACUGAGGGUUUGUGAGGUCCUGCUGGAGGGUUUAUGUUCCUCAGCUCUUAGAAUUUCCCUUAAGGCCUCCUGUUCGACAGGUUCCUCCCUGAUCUCUCUGCUGGGAGGCCCUCCCACCCUCUCCUUUCUUUUCCUUUCACAGAAACCCUGCGCUCACGCCCCACAGUCCGGGGAGGCUCCGUUCAGUCCAUCGAUCCCAAGUGCCUUCUUUACCAACAAGGAACUCAGAAAGAAGCACUUUUCAAAAUGCUGCACAUGUAUAGGAUUUGUGGGUUCGUUUCUUAGUGGGGUAAAAUGCACAGAACAUGAACUUCACCCCCGUAACCAAAGGGUACAACGCUGUGGCUUUUAGCGUCUUCAUAGUGUCAUGCAACCACCACCACUGCAUAAUUGCAAACAUUUUCAUCACCUCUCCCCGCCCCCCAAAAGACACCCUGUACACAUUAAGCAGUCACUCCCCGUUUCCCUUCCCCACGUUCUCCUCUGCAACUUGCUCUUCUCAUUUAACAAGACAUCAGGAAAGUCCUUCCGGGUCUAAGGACCCAUUCUUUUUUUUUUUUUUUUUUAAUUUUUUUAAUGUUUAUUCAUUUUUGAGAGACAGAGACAGAGUGUGAGCAGGGGAGGGGUAGAGAGAGGGAGAUACAGAAUCCCAAGCAGGCUCCAGGCUCCCAGAUGUCAGCACAGAGCCCGACGUGGGGCUCGAGCUCACCAACCGUUGAGAUCGUGACCUGAGCCAAGGUUGGACGCUCAGCGGUCCACCCAGGUGCCCCUACACACUUUUAGGACUUUGUGUGCAAAAUCUUCUCUUUCACCUGUCUUUGCAGGCCUUGUCUGGGGAUCAGAGUGGGCACGGAGGACUGGCGAGUUCUGCCUGGGAGAAUUCGAGAAGACUCCUCGGAGAAUGUCGUGCCGACGAGCAGCGGCCCCCAGGACCUCCACGCAGCCUCUUGUGUCGCGACCCCACGCACCUGAUCUCCUCGCAGCCUUCCUGGCCUCAGGUACCACAGCCCCUGCGCCACGGCUCCUUCGCUUCCAGGGGCCAAGACUUCCGGCUUCUGCGGUUUACCACGGGGAGGGGGGCAUAGACACGGGAAAUAAACGCCUGACUCAGCCUUGGUCUGCGUCUGCCUGGAAGGAGACGGAGAGACACGUCCACCUUACAGCUUCCCGGCCUCGCAGGCCUGCCAAGGAAUGUGGCCUGGGUGGGAGGGACGUCCACAGCUGUGCGCAGAGCGGUGCCCUCCAGGACCAGGCCUCCACCCGGUGGAGUGAGCCCAUGUGGCCGGUUUGGCCUUUGCGAGCAGGUCAAGGAAACUUAGGGGGGAAAAAAAAUAAUGCAAC